Molecule: transfer RNA, 72 nt
Filed under: Bos taurus (domestic cattle)
Lineage: Eukaryota; Metazoa; Chordata; Mammalia; Artiodactyla; Bovidae
Also listed under: 1 other name
Rfam family: tRNA
About the family: Transfer RNA (tRNA) molecules are approximately 80 nucleotides in length. Their secondary structure includes four short double-helical elements and three loops (D, anti-codon, and T loops).
Source: Rfam by way of RNAcentral
UCUCUCGUGGCUCAGAUGGUAAAGAAUCUGCCUGUAAUGCAGGAGACCCAGGUUCGAUCCCUGGGUUGGGAA